GACAGAGGGGGCGAGCGUUGUCCGGAGUCACUGGGCGUAAAGCGCGCGCAGGCGGCAACCUGAGUGUCGUGUGAAAGCCCCCGGCUCAACCGGGGGAGGCCAUGGCAAACUGGGUCGCUCGAGCUGCGGAGAGGCCCCUCGAAUUGCCGGUGUAGCGGUGAAAUGCGUAGAGAUCGGCAGGAAGACCAAGGGGGAAGCCAGGGGGCUGGCCGCAGGCUGACGCUGGGGCGCGACAGCGUGGGGAGCAAUCCGC
Molecule: ribosomal RNA, 253 nt
Filed under: uncultured bacterium
Lineage: Bacteria
Description: partial 16S ribosomal RNA
Rfam family: Bacterial small subunit ribosomal RNA
Source: RNAcentral